UGAUCUUCCUAUUGUCUACGUCGAUGACCAGCCCAGAAUCAAACCCAGAUCUUCUUCAACCUCUUCUCAUCGUCUUCUAUUUCUUUUCUCCUCCUUCUCGGCUCAUAACCUUCGACCACAUCACCAUUAAACACUAUAAUUAUUUUUCCUUCACCUGUACUCAGAAAUUUCUCCGAUUUGGUAUUAUUUGAACUCAAAUCUCCUUCAUCCUGAGUUGAGUCUGAGUUUACUCGCCGUCCGAGCUAUUGCAAAGAGGACUCAGAUCUGAUUUUGUAUCCCACGAUAUAGCGAUUAUGAAGCCAGAGAGAGAGACGAAGAGAGGAGUCUGGGUUCGAUAAAAUUGGCGGAGGGAGAAAGAAAGAGUCUUGGUUCUUACUCUUAUCUUAGUUAACAUCUUAUUGUUGACAUAUUUAUUUUAUGUCAACUAGAACAUGAUCUGACUUGUUACAACAUAUAUAAGUGUUAUCCAUUGGAUUGAAUUCUGCAAUAUUUAGGUUUGCAAAGAUAAAUUUCUUAGGAAGUUUGAAUUUGUUCUCACGGAUUAGGAUUUAGGACAAGUUUUUGGUUUCUAAACAACAUUGUGUAUUGUUCUUUCUUGUUGUGGUGUGUAAGGAGCAAAGGAUAGUGAAAGCAGAAGAGUGGGAUUCGUUAAUGGAGAUCCUUCUUAAGCCAUUGUCUGCUGCUUUCAGAGUUAUUUCCAAUUGCUUAUUGGUUAAUUUGCGAUGAUCUUCGACUCAAGUUGGAGAAUGAUUUCAUGAAAUCUCUUCAGGAUGAGGCUAUAGAGAGUGGUGAACUGGAGGCUAUCAAGCCUUUGCCUUGGUACCCUAAUAAUCUUGCUU
This is a non-coding RNA of Camelina sativa (false flax), 839 nucleotides long. Lineage: Eukaryota; Viridiplantae; Streptophyta; Magnoliopsida; Brassicales; Brassicaceae. The record is from RefSeq and is a predicted model, not a curated record.